AUGCGUUGGCAUGAUGAGGGUCGUACAAAAGAUGGAUUGCUGCGAUGUCCAGCUGAUGGAGAGGCUUGGAAAGAUCUUGAUGCCAGAUAUCCUAAAUUCGCUGAGGAUCCCCGUAAUGCGCGGCUAGGCGUUGGGUCUGAUGGGUUUAAUCCUUUCCGACUCAUGAGUGCAAAACAUAGUACUUGGCCAGUGACGCUUAUUCCAAACAACCUACCACCUUGGAUCUGCAUGAAGCAAACAUCUCUAAUUUUAUCAAUGAUUAUUCCUGGACCAAGUUCCCCUGGCAAUGAUAUUGAUGUAUAUUUGCAGCCGUUGGUGGAUGAGCUGCAACAACUUUGGAAGGGUGUGGACACUUUUGAUUCAUGUACCCAGGAGAAAUUAUCUCUUCGAGCUGCACUAUUAUGGACUUUGAACGAUUUUCCAGCAUUAGCUUACCUCUAUGGGUGGAGCACGAGCGGUAAAUAUGCUUGCCUGUCUUGUGGUCCUUUUACAAGAUCAUAUUGGCUAAAGAAGAGUAAGAAAUUUUGUUAUAUGGGUCAUCGCCGAUGGCUAACACAGAAUCAUGUAUUUCGGAGACGAAAGAAGGAGUUUGAUAACACCGAAGAGAUGGAACUUGCACCUAUAACAAUGAGUGGUAGCUCAGCUUUGAGAAUGUUGCAGGGCAGAGUGUUUGUCUUAGGAAAAAAGGUUGUUGUGGCAAAGAAAGGGAAAGGGAAAAAGAAGGGCAAAGACAGUGAAAAAGGAAUUGAAGAUUACAAGGUGGUCUUCUUUAAAUGUGAUUGGUAUGAUGUUCAUCACAAAGCUGGUAUUAUAAGAGAUGAGUUUGGAUUCACUCAUGUGAACUUCUCCCGAAAAAUACAUACAGGGGAGAAGUUAGAGGAUGAACCUUUUGUAUUUUCUUCCCAAGUGGACCAGGUCUUCUAUAUCCAAAAUCUGAGAAGUGAGAAUUGGAAUACCAUGGUGAAAUUCAAACCUCGUGAUAUUUUUGACAUGGGUGGAGAACCAUCUUCAGAUGAAACAGAGUAG
RNAcentral lists this ribosomal RNA (1026 nucleotides) under Triticum aestivum (bread wheat). RNAcentral describes it as "partial small subunit ribosomal RNA". The record is from RNAcentral. Lineage: Eukaryota; Viridiplantae; Streptophyta; Magnoliopsida; Poales; Poaceae.